RNAcentral lists this long non-coding RNA (1296 nucleotides) under Volvox carteri. RNAcentral describes it as "long non-coding RNA (VCAR_LNC000471)". Lineage: Eukaryota; Viridiplantae; Chlorophyta; Chlorophyceae; Chlamydomonadales; Volvocaceae. The record is from RNAcentral.
UUCUGGAAGGGUGCUAGUUACUGCAGGCGCGCAGCCUAAGUCCAACCUCCUCGGUGCCUGCGCAGUCGGUACAUGUUCUUGCUGUCGCACCUGUAAACCCACGUGCUUGCUCCUGCGAUACCGCGUGCAGACUCCUAUCCGACGGGUGGAACCGGUGGCGGGCGCGUGCUAGUUGAGGGAGGGAACAUCGCCAAGAUGACGGUGCAAGAAAUUAAAGAUGUGCUGACGCAGGUGAGUCAGGAAGUGGCCGUCUUCCUUGCUAAAUUGCUGCUAGUGGAUUGCAGUGUCCGGUUUAAUCGUAAAUGUCCGCUGAAGGUGCCCAACUGGGGUCAUUUCAACAGCGUGAGGUCUUCCUGGAUUUGGGAUUUUUCGUGGAUCAUCGGUGCUUGUUUAUUACUCGACUACCCCACAUGAUUUAUGUACUGCCCCACAUGAUGCUUCCUAGUAGCAGCUUAGGAUGGAGUUCUGCACCUAACUAAAUGGCCUAUGCCUUUUGCUCUGCUGAAAACAUGCAACAGGCUGGCUACCAAGAAGAUGUUUGGGCGAUGACGAACCGCAAGCCCGCGCCGAAGAAAGCGGAUUGGAUCGCGCUGCUGGAGCGCCGGCAGCAGGCAGCGUCCUAAGAUCCCUGACCAUUAGGUUUAGGAUGUCCUACCUUUAUAUUGCGUCGAUGCAUGAUGCACUGUCCUUUCACUUGGUUGGGUUCAACAGCUGUCGUAACAACUGUUCAAGAUGUACGUUGGCCGAUGGGGUAGGGUCGUUAUAAAUUACGCAUUUUCUGAUAGCUCUCUUUCUUUCAGGUGAUUCAGCAUGCGGUUAGGGUAGCUUGUUGUUAUGGCCCAUGCCUAAUGUUUUGAGUGUAUUACCGGGCCGUGCUUUGCGUCGGAAUUGGCCUGAUGAUUCAUUACGAGCAUCGCUAUUGGGGCUUGCCUCUCCUCAGCCGUCUGUAUGGCAGCGCUUUCCCACGUGCACUGUUGUUUGCAACGCUCGCGGCGCUUGAGACGGCUUUGCUUUUCGAGUUUGCGCCGAAGUACGUGACUAUGGCACUUAAAAAUCCUACAAUAUUCCAGAUUUUUGGCUUCGUCGUGGGCUUUGCGCUGGUGUUCAGGCAAGACCAAAGACACGUGCAACAUGCAUGUGUAACGCUUUUCCGUUCCUUAUGGUAUAUGGUCUUUCCUUUUAAUAAUUCUUACACUUAAUGGUAAUACAUAUAAUCUGGUGUUCGCACCAUGUUAACCGAGUUCACCUUGUGCACUGAGCUGAACAAUCCAAGGGAGGGAGGGAUGGAUGCCCUUG